Molecule: ribosomal RNA, 1562 nt
Filed under: Vibrio neocaledonicus
Lineage: Bacteria; Pseudomonadati; Pseudomonadota; Gammaproteobacteria; Vibrionales; Vibrionaceae
Description: bacterial SSU rRNA
Rfam family: Bacterial small subunit ribosomal RNA
Source: RNAcentral
AAAUUGAAGAGUUUGAUCAUGGCUCAGAUUGAACGCUGGCGGCAGGCCUAACACAUGCAAGUCGAGCGGAAACGAGUUAUCUGAACCUUCGGGGAACGAUAACGGCGUCGAGCGGCGGACGGGUGAGUAAUGCCUAGGAAAUUGCCCUGAUGUGGGGGAUAACCAUUGGAAACGAUGGCUAAUACCGCAUGAUGCCUACGGGCCAAAGAGGGGGACCUUCGGGCCUCUCGCGUCAGGAUAUGCCUAGGUGGGAUUAGCUAGUUGGUGAGGUAAGGGCUCACCAAGGCGACGAUCCCUAGCUGGUCUGAGAGGAUGAUCAGCCACACUGGAACUGAGACACGGUCCAGACUCCUACGGGAGGCAGCAGUGGGGAAUAUUGCACAAUGGGCGCAAGCCUGAUGCAGCCAUGCCGCGUGUGUGAAGAAGGCCUUCGGGUUGUAAAGCACUUUCAGUCGUGAGGAAGGUGGUGUAGUUAAUAGCUGCAUUAUUUGACGUUAGCGACAGAAGAAGCACCGGCUAACUCCGUGCCAGCAGCCGCGGUAAUACGGAGGGUGCGAGCGUUAAUCGGAAUUACUGGGCGUAAAGCGCAUGCAGGUGGUUUGUUAAGUCAGAUGUGAAAGCCCGGGGCUCAACCUCGGAAUAGCAUUUGAAACUGGCAGACUAGAGUACUGUAGAGGGGGGUAGAAUUUCAGGUGUAGCGGUGAAAUGCGUAGAGAUCUGAAGGAAUACCGGUGGCGAAGGCGGCCCCCUGGACAGAUACUGACACUCAGAUGCGAAAGCGUGGGGAGCAAACAGGAUUAGAUACCCUGGUAGUCCACGCCGUAAACGAUGUCUACUUGGAGGUUGUGGCCUUGAGCCGUGGCUUUCGGAGCUAACGCGUUAAGUAGACCGCCUGGGGAGUACGGUCGCAAGAUUAAAACUCAAAUGAAUUGACGGGGGCCCGCACAAGCGGUGGAGCAUGUGGUUUAAUUCGAUGCAACGCGAAGAACCUUACCUACUCUUGACAUCCAGAGAACUUUCCAGAGAUGGAUUGGUGCCUUCGGGAACUCUGAGACAGGUGCUGCAUGGCUGUCGUCAGCUCGUGUUGUGAAAUGUUGGGUUAAGUCCCGCAACGAGCGCAACCCUUAUCCUUGUUUGCCAGCGAGUAAUGUCGGGAACUCCAGGGAGACUGCCGGUGAUAAACCGGAGGAAGGUGGGGACGACGUCAAGUCAUCAUGGCCCUUACGAGUAGGGCUACACACGUGCUACAAUGGCGCAUACAGAGGGCGGCCAACUUGCGAAAGUGAGCGAAUCCCAAAAAGUGCGUCGUAGUCCGGAUUGGAGUCUGCAACUCGACUCCAUGAAGUCGGAAUCGCUAGUAAUCGUGGAUCAGAAUGCCACGGUGAAUACGUUCCCGGGCCUUGUACACACCGCCCGUCACACCAUGGGAGUGGGCUGCAAAAGAAGUAGGUAGUUUAACCUUCGGGGGGACGCUUACCACUUUGUGGUUCAUGACUGGGGUGAAGUCGUAACAAGGUAGCGCUAGGGGAACCUGGCGCUGGAUCACCUCCUUAUACGAUGAU